UUGACCUCAAAUCAGGUAGGAUUACCCGCUGAACUUAAC
RNAcentral lists this ribosomal RNA (39 nucleotides) under Lentinula lateritia. Its description in RNAcentral is "partial 25S ribosomal RNA". The record is from RNAcentral. Lineage: Eukaryota; Fungi; Basidiomycota; Agaricomycetes; Agaricales; Omphalotaceae.